GCAGCUCGCAGGAGCAGUAAUAUCGAUCGAUCCGUCGAGUUCGAGGCUCGACAGGGUCGACUGGGGGUGCUGCAAGUAGAAAAGCUCUCCCAUAAGCAGGCAAGCUGGCUGGCUGGCUGGCUGCCCGGGCACGGACUGUUUCCACUGUCUGUCUGUCCGUCCGUCUCGUCUCGUCUCGUCUCAUUUCGUCUCGUCUGGUCUCGCCGCGUCUAGUCUCGUCUAUCUUUGCCUCUUCGCUCUUCUUCUCGUCUUGUUCUCGUUCAUUGCAUACAGAGACACAUACAACAUACAUGAUUUUGGUGUCGGUCUCGGUAUCAUCGUUUUGAUACACCAUGUAACGCUAUAAUGUACUCGGUGUGACGUGGAAUAACAAGAAAGAACGCACGAUAGGUUCGCAAAGAGGUUCGGUUUGUCGAAUCGUUUUGCUUGAUUGUGUGUUAUCUCGUGUCGUGCCGUGGACGUACGCGCGGUACGGUUCAUCGCUGUGACCUUGAGAAGCAGUGACAGUGCGUGUCUCUGACCUUGGCACAGGGUUCGCCAAGUUCUCCGAUGGCAGCGCGAGCACCGCUGCCAGCCGCGACGACAGCUGAUCGACCACCGGCCAAGUGGAAUCCCAGUGGAGGAUGUGCACCGACUGGAUUGCGUCACCGAGCAUAAUCAGGAGAUAAACAGAAAGAAGUUUCUGAAGAAUGAACAUCGAGGGAAGAAAUUGGUGUAGAAAAAUCGAUGAAACGGAAGAUAUAUAGAGGUUUACCGCUUGGACGAAGCUAUACAUUAACAAUGGACACUAGUGAAUCAAGAACAGAUGCGCCAGUACGAGUUCUCAGACGUUUGCAGAGCAUGAAGAGGAGAAGAUUCGUCUGACUUCGUAGACGCGUUCGGUGCCAGUUUAGAGAAUGGAGGAGUCCUCACCAAGGAUUCGUUCCUAUCUGGAAUGCUGGGACCAGAACGAAGACAAGUACUCGGUGGCGAACAGCCAGGCACCAUUGCAGGCUGGCGAAGAGGAACACCCAGAACGCGGUACAUGGACAGGGAAAUUCGACUUCCUGUUGUCUCUUCUGGGCUACAGCGUCGGCCUUGGCAAUGUCUGGCGAUUUCCAUAUCUGUGCUACUCGAACGGAGGGGGUGCUUUCUUAAUACCGUUUACGAUAAUGCUCAUUAUCGCCGGGCUUCCUCUCAUGUUCAUGGAGCUUUCCUUAGGGCAGUACGCGAGCCUUGGCCCAGUGGCAGCAUACAAACGCUUCUGCCCCUUACUCCGCGGCUUGGGGUAUGGAAUGGUGUUGGUCAGCUCGGUGGUGAUGCUCUACUACAAUUUGAUCAUCGCCUGGACCCUUUAUUACAUCUUCGUCUCCGUGGCCGGAGCUGGUAAACUGCCAUGGAGCAAGUGCGAACCACCAUGGAGCACCGAAGACUGCUUCAUGCCAGAAGCUGCCGAGGCGUGUAUGUCUCAAAACAUGAGCUACUUCAAAACAAGAUGUUUAAAUUCCACUCAGAUGGCCUCCAUGGGCCUGACUAUAGAGAACAUCACUAGUGCCAUUAGAAGACCACCUGCUGAGGAAUAUUUCAACAAUCACGUGUUGGGGAUGAGUAGCGGCAUCGAGGAGACAGGUUCAAUUCGACCCUCGAUGGCAGUGAAUCUCCUGUUGGCUUGGAUUAUCGUCUUCCUCUGUCUGAGCAAAGGUGUUCAAAGCUCGGGAAAGGUUGUAUAUUUCACUGCUCUCUUCCCAUACGUCGUUCUGAUCACUCUUUUCAUUCGAGGGAUUUUACUUCCCGGCGCCGACGAGGGCAUUCUCUUUUAUCUAACGCCCGAUUGGAAAAGGCUAAUGUCCGCGAAAGUGUGGGGCGACGCCGCUGUGCAGAUUUUCUUCGCUUUGAGCCCUGCUUGGGGUGGUUUGAUAACGCUCAGCUCCUACAACAAAUUCACCAACAAUUGUUACAAGGAUUCGUUGAUCGUCGCUGUCAGCAAUAUCGGCACGUCCUUCUUCGCUGGUUUUGUCAUUUUUUCUGUGAUCGGAUUCUUGGCUCACGAGCUUGACGUUCCUGUCGCGUCUGUUGUCGAUCAGGGUGCUGGACUGGCUUUCAUUGUCUAUCCUGAGGUAGUAGCUCGUUUACCAGUUGCACCACUUUGGUCGCUGCUCUUCUUCGUGAUGCUGCUCACUUUGGGUCUCGACUCUCAAUUCGCACUGAUGGAAACUGUUACCACAGCGAUCCUUGAUGCCUUUCCAGCAUUGAGAAAUUACAAAUUAUGGGUUGUCCUGGCAGCAGCUGUAUUCGGUUACGCCGGUGGUAUCAUUUUCACUACCAAUGCUGGUAUGUACUGGUUGCAAUUGAUGGACAAAUACGCAGCGAAUUGGUCGGUGUUAUUGAUCGCCAUAGGCGAAUGUAUCUUGGUCGCUUGGAUCUACGGUGCGGAUCGAUUUCUCGACGACGUGCAGCAGAUGAUCGGACCUCGUAGUCGUCCCUGGAGAUUUUUCUGGACGUGGAUGUGGAAAGUGAUUACACCAGCUACGCUCUUCUUCAUCCUAUUUUUUAAUUGGGUCGAAUACGAACCGCUUACAUACGGUGGCUACGUUUAUCCAAAAUGGGCGGACGUUGUUGGAUGGGUUGUCGGUAUAAUACCAGUAUUGGUCAUCGUUGGCGUGGCUCUCAAUCAACUGAGGGAUCGGCGUCGUCGUCCUGCCUACGACGAGGACGACGAUGAUGACGACGAUCUCGACAACAGGCUGUCGUGGCAAAGACCAGGAAAAGGGAAAACGAAGAAGAGCAACGGGAAGAAUGUUUGGUGGCGCGCGAAGAUGCUUUUACAACCGACUUCUGAUUGGGGUCCUGCGGCCAGAAACCCUUCUACCCCAUCGAGAACGCUCACUCAUACACCGUCGCCAGGCCCACCAGCAGGAUACAAUUCCGUGAGAGACACCAUAGUCCUGGUAAACGGUCAGCCAAUGAUACAACCCUCGGGCACGUCUGGCACCACUCAGAAGCUUCCUGGACCGUCGAUCCUGAAGAAUUCUAGUAAAACCGAUUUGAUCACAUCCCAGCAAGUCUGACACGAUGUUCAUUUUAUCUGUAAAGACGAGUCUGCCCAGAAAUCUAUUGCCAAAGAUACAACAGGCCAAUAACAGAUAGAAGACUGUCGAUGUGACGAAGAUGCCGCGUAAAGAAACUGUGACACGACUCCAGCACGCGCGCUGCGAUGUAAAACCGUUAGGAAAAAUUACGCUACUCCACUGCUUUCGAUUGUACAUACAUAAGGACACGAAGAAUACAAAGAAAAUGAUAAAAAAAAAAAAAUCUCACACACGGACGGUAAAAUAUCAAGAGGAUAACGAGAGGAAUAAUGGAAUUAAAUAAUUGUAACGUAUUCUAGCGAGGAAAGUUACGUAUUUAUCGCUACCUACGCUGAAGCGUCAUUAUACAAAUUAUUAAGAUAUAGCAAUGACACUUCACCUUUUUCAGGUGGAAAUCACUGAACGAUUCAAUUGCUCCCGUGUAAGGUAUCUUAUCUAAGAUAAUGUUCACUUGCACAGCGGAUCAAUUUAGGCGUUCCGUGCGAUUAGGCAUGUUCGAUUUAGCCGUCAAAAUCAAGAGGAGUUCGCGGUUAAUUCCUCCUCGUCGCAAUUCACAUCUAUGUAAUCUCGUAUCACCCGCCAUAAACAAACAAAACACACAAAAAAAAAGAAAAAAAGAAAAAAAAGAGAGAAGAAAAUACAGGCUAAAUUUCUAUUAAUCCACUGGACAAUUUUGUCGCAGAAUAUUUGUUGUUAUCCGACACGUUCAGUCGCCACCAUCUGAUUUUUUGUAAAGCACCAUUUCUAGUUACGCGAGCGUUCGGUAUUUUUUCGAUGUUGACUCGCGAAAUGUUUCAUACCUAAGUACCAGCUACGCUGUACCGUUUAUCGAGAGAAUAAGUGUGAUCGUUCAAGAGCGCAAAUUUCGAGGAAUUGGAAAGUCGAGGAGAUUUAAAAAGGGAAGGAAGCGAAUCUAACUGUAAGUGCUGAGAAAGCGGAAAAAUGACGCGGUCUUAGACAGUAUUAUCUUGCUGAAGCGAGGAUGAUUAGCGCUAUCCUUCUUCCUGCGUUCACCUGUCGAUGUCCUCCAAAAACGAGAGAUCGCAACAAUCGUUAGUUGAUGGGGUAUAGAAUAUUUUUGUUAAAGACGCGAUUGUUGCACUAUUUUAGUCGUUUUAAUCCUUUCAGCGUUGCCACCAUCGUAGCAAUGGAAUUUAAAGUGAGAUUGAAAAUCUCUGGGAAUUUUAAUUACGUAAGAGAAUUACGUACUAAGCGUACGAUAGUGUAAGUGAUUCAGAUAUCUAUUUAUGCUUUUGGUUUACUUCUUUCGAUAUCUCCAACGACUGAUAAACAUGACAUUUUAUCGAAGCUGAAUACUCUUAUUUCCAUUUUCACAGACUGAAAAUAGAGAAGAAUAAUUCAUAACUAUGAUGAUCUAUUUUAUUGACUUUUUUUAAAUUAGAAAUUAUCGUUACCGAUAGCGAUGAUAGUAAGAUUGAAGCUUUUACAAAGAGUCAAUAAAUAUCGUGGUUCAAUGCUUAAAGGAUUAAAUUGUUGA
Bombus impatiens (common eastern bumble bee) is the source of this 4566-nucleotide RNA transcript. It is a transcript of the gene named sodium- and chloride-dependent glycine transporter 1, with no coding region annotated. The record is from RefSeq and is a predicted model, not a curated record. The transcript has 12 exons. Lineage: Eukaryota; Metazoa; Arthropoda; Insecta; Hymenoptera; Apidae.